UACGGAGGGUGCAAGCGUUGCUCGGAAUCAUUGGGCGUAAAGCGUACGCAGGCUGUUCGUUAAGUCGGGUGUGAAAGCCCAGGGCUCAACCCUGGAAUGGCGCCCGAAACUGGCGAGCUUGAGUGCGGGAGAGGGAAGCGGAAUUCCUGGUGUAGAGGUGAAAUGCGUAGAUAUCGGGAGGAACAUCGAUGGCGAAAGCAACCGUCUGGGCCUGAACUGACACUGAGACACGAAAGCGUGGGGAGCAAACAGG
Molecule: ribosomal RNA, 253 nt
Filed under: uncultured bacterium
Lineage: Bacteria
Description: partial 16S ribosomal RNA
Rfam family: Bacterial small subunit ribosomal RNA
Source: RNAcentral